This 500-nucleotide ribosomal RNA is filed under the name uncultured bacterium. RNAcentral describes it as "partial 16S ribosomal RNA". It matches the Rfam family "Bacterial small subunit ribosomal RNA", at positions 28 to 523 of the family's 1533-position model. The record is from RNAcentral.
GAUGAACGCUGGCGGCAUGCCUUACACAUGCAAGUCGAACGGCUGCACGGGAGCAAUCCUGGUGGCGAGUGGCGAACGGGUGAGUAAAGUAUCGGAACGUGCCCAGUCGUGGGGGAUAACGUAGCGAAAGUUACGCUAAUACCGCAUACGAUCUAUGGAUGAAAGCGGGGGAUCGCAAGACCUCGCGCGAUUGGAGCGGCCGAUAUCAGAUUAGGUAGUUGGUGGGGUAAAGGCUCACCAAGCCGACGAUCUGUAGCUAGGCUGAGAGGACGACCAGCCACACGGGGACUGAGACACGGCCCAGACUCCUACGGGAGGCAGCAGGGGGGAAUUUGGGACAAUGGGCGAAAGCCGGAUCCAGCCAUGCCGCGUGCAGGAUGAAGGCCUUCGGGUUGUAAACUGCUUUUGUACGGAACGAAAAGGUUUGGCCUAAUAAGCUGAGCUCAUGACGGUACCGUAAGAAUAAGCACCGGCUAACUACGUGCCAGCCGCCGCCGUAA